AACGAACGCUGGCGGCAGGCUUAACACAUGCAAGUCAAACGGGGUAGCAAUACCUAGUGGCGCACGGGUGAGUAACGCGUGGGAAUAUCCCUCUCAGUACGGAAUAACCUCGGGAAACUGUGGCUAAUACCGUAUGGUCCCUUCGGGGUAAAGAUUUAUCGCUGAGAGAUUAGCCCGCGUAAGAUUAGCUAGAUGGUGGGGUAACGGCCUACCAUGGCUACGAUCUUUAGCUGGUCUUAGAGGACGAUCA
Molecule: ribosomal RNA, 250 nt
Filed under: uncultured bacterium
Lineage: Bacteria
Description: partial 16S ribosomal RNA
Rfam family: Bacterial small subunit ribosomal RNA
Source: RNAcentral